This 294-nucleotide ribosomal RNA is filed under the name uncultured bacterium. RNAcentral's name for it is "partial 16S ribosomal RNA". It matches the Rfam family "Bacterial small subunit ribosomal RNA", at positions 335 to 646 of the family's 1533-position model. The record is from RNAcentral.
UAUCCUACGGGACGCAGCAGUGGGGGAUAUUGCACAAUGGGGGAAACCCUGAUGCAGCGACGCCGCGUGAGUGAAGAAGUAUUUCGGUAUGUAAAGCUCUAUCAGCAGGGAAGAAAAUGACAGUACCUGACCAAGAAGCCCCGGCUAACUACGUGCCAGCAGCCGCGGUAAUACGUAGGGGGCAAGCGUUAUCCGGAUUUACUGGGUGUAAAGGGAGCGUAGACGGUUAUGUAAGUCUGGAGUGAAAGCCCGGGGCCUAACCCCGGGGCUGAUUUGGAAACUGUGUAUCUGGAG